Mycena leptocephala is the source of this 97-nucleotide non-coding RNA. Lineage: Eukaryota; Fungi; Basidiomycota; Agaricomycetes; Agaricales; Mycenaceae. The record is from the annotation of a GenBank genome assembly.
GGUCCCGUAGCUCAGUGGUAGAGCACCGGUCAUUUAUGAUAGCGUACAAAUGAAAGUGUUUCACCGGAGGUCGCAUGUUCAAUUCAUGCCAGGACCA